CCUACGGGCGGCAGCAGUGGGGAAUAUUGGGCAAUGGAGGCAACUCUGACCCAGCAAUGCCGCGUGAGUGACGAAGGCUAUUUUAUUGUAAAGCUCUUUUCUUUGGAACGAAUAAAUGUCGGUACCAAAGGAAUAAGCCCCGGCUAACUACGUGCCAGCAGCUGCGGUAAUACGUAGGGGUCAAGUGUUGUUCGGAAUGACUGGGGGUAAAGGGUGUGUAGGUGUUUUGUUUAGGUAGAUGUGUAAUAUCCAGGGCUUAACACCGGUGCUGCAUCUAAAACUGUUAGACUAGAGAACUGGUGAGGAUGGUGGAAUGUCUAGUGUAGCGGUGGAAUGCGUAGAUAUUA
Molecule: ribosomal RNA, 347 nt
Filed under: uncultured bacterium
Lineage: Bacteria
Description: partial 16S ribosomal RNA
Rfam family: Bacterial small subunit ribosomal RNA
Source: RNAcentral